RNAcentral lists this small nucleolar RNA (96 nucleotides) under Hapsidospora chrysogenum ATCC 11550. Its description in RNAcentral is "Acremonium chrysogenum ATCC 11550 Small nucleolar RNA Z13/snr52". It matches the Rfam family "Small nucleolar RNA Z13/snr52". Rfam says of the family: Z13 or snr52 is a member of the C/D class of snoRNA which contain the C (UGAUGA) and D (CUGA) box motifs. Most of the members of the box C/D family function in directing site-specific 2'-O-methylation of substrate RNAs. The record is from Rfam by way of RNAcentral. Lineage: Eukaryota; Fungi; Ascomycota; Sordariomycetes; Hypocreales; Bionectriaceae.
CACCUCCACAUGAUGAAUUAUUACGGAUGUAAAUUUUUGUCACAACUGAAGCGCAAUACUGUUGAGAUUUCCGUUGCCUUCCUUCUGAUCGGAGAC